CCCUUAGAUGUCCUGGGCCGCACGCGCGCUACACUGAUGCAUUCAACGAGUUCUACCUUGGCCGAGAGGCCUGGGCAAUCUUUUGAACCUGCAUCGUGAUAGGGAUAGAUUAUUGCAAUUAUUAAUCUUGAACGAGGAAUUCCUAGUAAACGCAGAUCAUCAAUCUGCAUUGAUUACGUCCCUGCCCUUUGUACACACCGCCCGUCGCACCUACCGAUUGAAUGGUCCGGUGAAGCCUCGGGAUUGUGGCGAGUUCCCUUUAUCGGGAGUUUGUCGCGAGAACUUGUCUAAACCUUAUCAUUUAGAGGAAGGUGAAGUCGUAACA
This 325-nucleotide ribosomal RNA is filed under the name uncultured eukaryote. Its description in RNAcentral is "partial 18S ribosomal RNA". It matches the Rfam family "Eukaryotic small subunit ribosomal RNA", at positions 1470 to 1796 of the family's 1831-position model. The record is from RNAcentral.